GAUAAACGCUGGCGGCGCACACAAGACAUGCAAGUCGAACGGAAGUCGUUACAAAAUGAAUAGAAGAUUUAUCUGAUUGAAGUUUUGUAACAAUGGCUUUAGUGGCGGACUGGUGAGUAACGCGUAAGCAAUCUACCUAUUAGAGGGGAAUAACAAUGAGAAAUCAUUGCUAAUACCGCAUAUACCACAGAUAUCGCAUGAUAUAGGUGGGAAAGGAGCAAUCCACUAAUAGAUGAGCUUGCGUCUGAUUAGUUAGUUGGUGGGGUAACGGCCUACCAAGGCAACGAUCAGUAGCCGACCUGAGAGGGUGACCGGCCACAUUGGGACUGAGACACGGCCCAA
RNAcentral lists this ribosomal RNA (342 nucleotides) under uncultured bacterium. Its description in RNAcentral is "bacterial SSU rRNA". It matches the Rfam family "Bacterial small subunit ribosomal RNA", at positions 28 to 334 of the family's 1533-position model. The record is from RNAcentral.